Molecule: non-coding RNA, 1059 nt
Organism: Rattus norvegicus (Norway rat)
Lineage: Eukaryota; Metazoa; Chordata; Mammalia; Rodentia; Muridae
Source: RefSeq, a predicted model, not a curated record
CGGCCUGAGGAUCCCGGGCGGCGACAGCCGUAGCAGCGGCAGAGGACGGCGGAAGCAACACUGGCGGCAGCAAGAACGCGCACGCUCACGCACUGGCAGAGCGCGCCCCCGGAAAAAGACGUCAUAGCUCCUCACUGGAUGGGAUUGGAGAACUUGGAACUGAAACAAGAGUAGACAGAUCCUCGUGAGGCUGCUUAGCAUCGCCAUGUAUGGCACCUCCAGACCACAGAACUUCAUGAACCCAUCAACAUGUGCUGCCACUACCUCUACCCCAAUUCAAGAACCUCUCAUACCCCAACAGCCGGAACUGAAUGUAAGGGUAGAAGACAGGAAGACGACAAGUACAAAAAAAUCCACCACUACCAACUGGUCAGCAUCAACCACCACAUCACCGCUAAGUCAAGACACACAAAAGACACUGAUAACACUGAUAGCUUUAAGCAUGGUCUGUUGAUUGAGUGGAUUUCUCCAACUAUCGUACUCUAUCCUUCAGGCUUCUAGAGAUAUCCUCCAAAGGAAUGCUAUAUCAGAGGAGAAAUAUGGACACAAACAUGGCAAACUCUAGCCAAAUUCUGACAACUCCUCAGUCACAGACUGGGUUUCUCCGUGGCUGUCCUAUAAAUCAGCCUGUAGACCAAGCUAGCCUAGAAGAUCCAAGAGGGUCAAAGAUCCACAUGCCUCAGCCUCCCAAGUGCUGGGAUAAAAGAUGUGCACCACCACCCAGCCAGAGUCAACAAUAAAAGCUGAGAGUCCCUCACGAAGUGAAACAGCUGCAAAGAAGACUCUCAGAAGAGAAAGGUUGCAAAGACAGUUUUGAGACCAGAAUAGCUGUGUGGAAGAAGCAGAUACCAGGCCAGUUGCUUGGAAGAGGUAAACCUCUUUAUAACUGAGGCUCUUGGAAAGGACACUCUCCAACAUGUUGAGCUGCCUGAAAGCUCUGUAUUGUAUUCAAGGUUCUCAGCUUUGUGAACUAUCACCCACAGUGGCGUGGGCUUUGCUGUCUUUUGUGUCAUUUCUGCUCCUGUAAGCAACCCCAAUAAAACACAUUAGUUCACCAAA